UACGUAGGAGGCGAGCGUUGUCCGGAAUUACUGGGCGUAAAGAGCGUGUAGGCGGCCUGAAAGGUCAGCUGUGAAAACUCGAGGCUCAACCUCGAGACGUCGGUUGAAACCAUCUGGCUAGAGUCCGGAAGAGGAGUGUGGAAUUCCCGGUGUAGCGGUGAAAUGCGCAGAUAUCAGGAAGAACACCCGUGGCUAAGGCGGCUCUCUAGUACGGUACUUACGCUGAGACGCGAAAGCGUGGGGAGCGAACAGG
Molecule: ribosomal RNA, 253 nt
Filed under: uncultured bacterium
Lineage: Bacteria
Description: partial 16S ribosomal RNA
Rfam family: Bacterial small subunit ribosomal RNA
Source: RNAcentral